RNAcentral lists this ribosomal RNA (200 nucleotides) under uncultured prokaryote. Its description in RNAcentral is "partial 16S ribosomal RNA". It matches the Rfam family "Bacterial small subunit ribosomal RNA", at positions 1182 to 1382 of the family's 1533-position model. The record is from RNAcentral.
ACGUCAAAUCAUCAUGCCCCUUAUGUCUUGGGCUACACACGUGCUACAAUGGAUGAGACAAAGUGAAGCGAAGCCGCGAGGUGGAGCGAACCACGAAAAGCAUCCUCAGUUCGGAUUGCAGGCUGCAACUCGCCUGCAUGAAGUUGGAAUCGCUAGUAAUCGCGAAUCAGCAUGUCGCGGUGAAUACGUUCCCGGGCCUU